Long non-coding RNA from Dendrobium catenatum, 591 nucleotides. RefSeq lists it as uncharacterized. The transcript has 3 exons. The record is from RefSeq and is a predicted model, not a curated record. NCBI's taxonomy places the organism in Eukaryota, Viridiplantae, Streptophyta, Magnoliopsida, Asparagales, Orchidaceae.
CCCGUUCAGAGCUAUAGCCAUGGUUUUUCACUUUUCCCUGUGUCUGCAUUAUUGAAUGCACGCGUCUUCUUUUUUUUCUAGAUAACUGGAGAGAGAAACUUGAUAAGACACAGAGAAAUAACCUUUGUAAGAGAUAGAUAGAGAGAGAGAGAGGUAGCUGACUUUUGAGUGCCCCAGGAGUAAAUGCGCCCGCUGUCUUCUUUGACUCCUUUCUCUCUUUCUCUGUGCUUGCGAGAAACAAGAGCAAUGAUUCCUGCGCCUCUCUCUCUCUCUCUUCAAUCUUAACUCCCUGACUCGUUCUCUUACCUUCAGUUUUGCUUACCGAAAGAGCCAAAGGAGAUUCUGAUUGAGGAAUUGAACAGAAAUGGGGAGACCACCAUGCUGUGACAAAAUAGGAGUGAAGAAAGGGCCAUGGACUCCUGAAGAAGACAUAAUCCUGGUCUCCUAUGUCCAAGAACAUGGCCCUGGCAACUGGAGAUCUGUUCCCACUAACACAGGACUGUCAAGAUGCAGCAAGAGCUGCAGGCUCAGAUGGACUAAUUACCUAAGGCCAGGAAUCAAGCGUGGCAGUUUCACUGACCAGGAGGAGAA